RNAcentral lists this transfer RNA (73 nucleotides) under Aeromonas phage Akh-2. Its description in RNAcentral is "tRNA-Asp". It matches the Rfam family "tRNA". From Rfam's summary of the family: Transfer RNA (tRNA) molecules are approximately 80 nucleotides in length. Their secondary structure includes four short double-helical elements and three loops (D, anti-codon, and T loops). Lineage: Duplodnaviria; Heunggongvirae; Uroviricota; Caudoviricetes; Demerecviridae. The record is from RNAcentral.
GGUUCCAUCGUUUAUGUGGAUAAGAUACCUCCCUGUCACGGAGGAGUACAGGGUUCGAACCCCUGUGGGACCG